GAGCAAUGGAGGCUUCAGCAGUGGCUGUUCCCACCUUCACCAUAAGCCAGCCCCGCUUGUCUCUCACAGGAUCCCUCCUCCUGCUCCUGGCAUGCUCCUGGCAGCCAUGAGCCCGCCCGGUUGCAUGCCCACUCGCCUCUGCCUGGAGGAGUGCUGCCGCGGGGGCGCGCCCCAGGUCCCCUACCCUGAGCCCUGAUGCCCAGCUCCAGCGUCAAGAUGCCAGAAGAACAAGAACCCAGCGCCGGCCUGACCUACCCAGCGCCUGCGCCCCGGCCUGCAAGACACCACGCCCUCCUCUGCUCUGCGUGGUGCGUGGAGGGGCCCCUUCGGAUCGAUCGCAGCCGCUGCCACCAUAGCCGCCACCAUAGUCGCUGAGGCAGGCGUCAGUGGGAAGGACCUGAGAGUGGCUUUCCCAGCCGGCUGCCACACAGGACCUCUGGAUGCUUAGCCCGCCCGGCCGAGAGCUCUAAAGUCAAGGCAUGACUUAACAGCUUAUCUUGGAGGAGAACAGCUCAACUCAAAGGCAGAUUGCCAGUUCGGAGUUUAUUACAAGCAGAACUGCUAUGAUGUGCUUUUAGCACUGAAGUGAACUCCAUUGUAAGUACAGAAAGUGGCAUCUCUGCUUUCCCCCAGAAGCACAAUCGUAUACACCUUGCAGACUUGAAUCACUGAAGAUGUAAGCCAACUGUUACUCUGAGUUUCGGAGACCCCCUGUGGACAGCAUGAAGCCUGUCCCUGAUCAAAGUCUUAGUAAGCAGGAAGGAGUCAAGGUUAAGGAAUGCGUCUGAUUACCCUGAACUGUAGUACCUUGGAAAGUGAACCAAGGCUUGAGUUUUGUUCUGGAAGCCUGCCUUGCCUGCUUCUGUAAUCUGGCGCUCUGCAUGUGAAUCUUGGAUCUAUAUGGACACUGCUAUAUGUUACUGUCAUGAUUCUC
Molecule: long non-coding RNA, 934 nt
Filed under: Homo sapiens (human)
Lineage: Eukaryota; Metazoa; Chordata; Mammalia; Primates; Hominidae
Description: HSALNT0304266
Source: RNAcentral